This is a long non-coding RNA of Carassius auratus (goldfish), 484 nucleotides long. RefSeq lists it as uncharacterized. The transcript has 3 exons. NCBI's taxonomy places the organism in Eukaryota, Metazoa, Chordata, Actinopteri, Cypriniformes, Cyprinidae. The record is from RefSeq and is a predicted model, not a curated record.
UGCAGUUCAGAACAGAUGCAGACUGCAGGGAAAGGCGUCUCUGUGAUCUUUGUUGCUAAAUUAAAUAAAGCAAAUAUACAGCCAGAUCUGUGGGUGGUGAUUCACUCUGCUGUUGUUGUCACGGCGACGCUCUAAUUUGGCCCUCAGUAAACAUUGUGGUUUGCACAACAGUCGCUGGCUCUGCAUUGGCACUGGUUGAUGUAUGUUGGCCAGUGUCUUGACCUCUCCUGCUCCCUCCUCACACAGCACAGGGCUCCAGCAGGACCCUCACACUGUUAUUUUAAAUAUCCGGUUACAGCCUCAAACCCAAGGGGGUCUUUUAACAGGCCAGAGGAUCAAGACCUUGGCUGUAAAGAGCUACUAGGCAAAGACUGACCACUCUUUGUUGUUACUUUUUCCCAAAUCUUGAUAAGCUAGAGCCCCAUUGCCACAUAUACUGGAAAAUAAAAGAAAUGAGAUUUCAGACCAGAUGGCAUGGAAUCAG